UCGCCUCAACUCAUGCGAGACUACCCCCUAAAUUUAAGCAU
RNAcentral lists this ribosomal RNA (41 nucleotides) under Anopheles barbirostris subgroup clade I. Its description in RNAcentral is "partial 28S ribosomal RNA". Lineage: Eukaryota; Metazoa; Arthropoda; Insecta; Diptera; Culicidae. The record is from RNAcentral.